UGCCAGCCGCCGCGGUAAUACGUAGGUGGCGAGCGUUACUCGGAAUCACUGGGCAUAAAGCGCGUGCAGGCGGCCUUGCAAGUCGGGUGUGAAAGCCUCCAGCUUAACUGGAGAACUGCGCCCGAUACUGCGUGGCUAGAGGCUGGUAGGGGAGAGUGGAAUUCCCGGUGGAGCGGUGAAAUGCGUUGAUAUCGGGAGGAACGCCGGCGGCGAAAGCGGCUCUCUGGUCCAGUCCUGACGCUCAGACGCGAAAGCUAGGGGAGCAAACAGGAUUAGAUA
This 279-nucleotide ribosomal RNA is filed under the name uncultured bacterium. RNAcentral describes it as "partial 16S ribosomal RNA". It matches the Rfam family "Bacterial small subunit ribosomal RNA", at positions 506 to 784 of the family's 1533-position model. The record is from RNAcentral.